ACAGGUGUGACACACAGCUCUAUUAAAAAAAAAAUAAAAAAAUGGAUAGCUCAUUGGCCACCAAAAAUGAAGUCGCCAUCCGCCAUCUUGAUACUCCCAAAAUAACCGUGCCGACCUGUGCAUCACCAGUUUCCUGGCUGUGAGAAAACAUUCCACAGUGAAGGUACCCAGGCUCCAUCAACCUGCAUCAUCGAAGCAAUGGAGACGUGUGGAGUGAUGAAAAACUGCUGCGAUCCAGCCACAGGAAAGAAGCACACGGGGACAACAAAAGAGGAAACGUGUCCAUUUUGUCAAAGAACCAAACAUCAUAAAGCCACUUUUUGGCUUUUGGAAAUGCAAUACCCCUGCAAAAAGAAAUGACUGUUUAGACAAAUUAUGUCUGAAGCAAAAUGUGAGAAAUUAGUUUAUCGCGACAACUGAUUCUCAUUUUAAUCGGGGUCAUUUUUGACCCCACUUGUGGACGAAUGGUUGUGCAUCCAAGGGUUAAAAUUAAGACGCAACCUGCCUUCAGGUUAGCAAAUACUUUAGCAAUCCAAAGUAUCUAGCCUGAAGGGUUAGCGUGGAAAAAAUGACCUCACUUAAGUUAUUUUUUUUGGUUCAUAUUUGUGCUUAGCUAUUUGACUAAUGGUGUUUGCUUAAGGCUCAUUUCUAGCUAUUGGUGACAAUUGUACAACCAUGACUAAACUGUUUUAAAAUAAAAAUGAAAUACUCGUGAA
Molecule: long non-coding RNA, 716 nt
Organism: Syngnathoides biaculeatus (alligator pipefish)
Lineage: Eukaryota; Metazoa; Chordata; Actinopteri; Syngnathiformes; Syngnathidae
Exons: 2
Source: RefSeq, a predicted model, not a curated record